GAGUAACACGUAUCCAACCUGCCGUCUACUCUUGGCCAGCCUUCUGAAAGGAAGAUUAAUCCAAGAUGGCAUCAUGAGUUCACAUGUCCGCAUGAUUAAAGGUAUUUCCGGUAGACGAUGGGGAUGCGUUCCAUUAGAUAGUAGGCGGGGUAACGGCCCACCUAGUCAACGAUGGAUAGGGGUUCUGAGAGGAAGGUCCCCCACAUUGGAACUGAGACACGGUCCAAACUCCUACGGGAGGCAGCAGUGAGGAAUAUUGGUCAAUGGGCGAUGGCCUGAACCAGCCAAGUAGCGUGAAGGAUGACUGCCCUAUGGGUUGUAAACUUCUUUUAUAAAGGAAUAAAGUCGGGUAUGCAUACCCGUUUGCAUGUACUUUAUGAAUAAGGAUCGGCUAACUCCGUGCCAGCAGCCGCGGUAAUACGGAGGAUCCGAGCGUUAUCCGGAUUUAUUGGGUUUAAAGGGAGCGUAGAUGGAUGUUUAAGUCAGUUGUGAAAGUUUGCG
This 501-nucleotide ribosomal RNA is filed under the name uncultured Bacteroidales bacterium. RNAcentral describes it as "bacterial SSU rRNA". It matches the Rfam family "Bacterial small subunit ribosomal RNA", at positions 108 to 606 of the family's 1533-position model. Lineage: Bacteria; Pseudomonadati; Bacteroidota; Bacteroidia; Bacteroidales. The record is from RNAcentral.